UACGUAGGGGGUUAGAGUUGCUCGGAAUCACUGGGCGUAAAGCGCACGUAGGCGGAUUGCUAAGUCAGGGGUGAAAUCCUGGAGCUCAACUCCAGAACUGCCCUUGAUACUGGCGACCUUGAGUCCGUGAGAGGUGAGUGGAACUGCGAGUGUAGAGGUGAAAUUCGUAGAUAUUCGCUAGAACACCAGUGGCGAGGGCGGCUCACUGUCCCGGUACUGACGCUGAGGUGUACAAAUGUGGGGAGUACACAGG
This 253-nucleotide ribosomal RNA is filed under the name uncultured bacterium. RNAcentral describes it as "partial 16S ribosomal RNA". It matches the Rfam family "Bacterial small subunit ribosomal RNA", at positions 524 to 776 of the family's 1533-position model. The record is from RNAcentral.